RNAcentral lists this ribosomal RNA (498 nucleotides) under uncultured bacterium. RNAcentral describes it as "partial 16S ribosomal RNA". It matches the Rfam family "Bacterial small subunit ribosomal RNA", at positions 30 to 523 of the family's 1533-position model. The record is from RNAcentral.
AUUGAACGCUGGCGGCAUGCCUUACACAUGCAAGUCGAACGGUAACAGGUCUUCGGAUGCUGACGAGUGGCGAACGGGUGAGUGAUACAUCGGAACGUGCCUAGUAGUGGGGGAUAACUACUCGAAAGAGUGGCUAAUACCGCAUGAGAUCUACGGAUGAAAGCAGGGGAUCGCAAGACCUUGUGCUACUAGAGCGGCCGAUGGCAGAUGAGGUAGUUGGUGGGAUAAAAGCUUACCAAGCCGACGAUCUGUAGCUGGUCUGAGAGGACGAUCAGCCACACUGUGACUGAGACACGGCCCAGACUCCUACGGGAGGCAGCAGUGGGGAAUUUUGGACAAUGGGCGAAAGCCUGAUCCAGCAAUGCCGCGUGCAGGAUGAAGGCCUUCGGGUUGUAAACUGCUUUUGUACGGAACGAAAAGCCCCGGGUUAAUACCCUGGGGUCAUGACGGUACCGUAAGAAUAAGCACCGGCUAACUACGUGCCAGCAGCCGCCGUAA